CCUACGGGAGGCUGCAGUGAGGAAUAUUGGUCAAUGGCCGGAAGGCUGAACCAGCCAAGCCGCGUGAAGGACGAAGGUGCCAAGCAUUGUAAACUUCUUUUGUCAAGGGACAAAAUCAGGCUCGAGAGCCUGAACGAGGGUACUUGAAGAAAAAGCAUCGGCUAACUCCGUGCCAGCAGCCGCGGUAAUAGGGAGGAGGCGAGGGAUAUCCGGGUUGAUUGGGUUAAAAGGGUGCGUAGGCGGGUUGUUAAGUCAGCGGUAAAAGCCCGGCGCUGAACCCCGGCGAGCCGUUGAAACUGGCUGUCUUGAGAGGUCGAGAGGGAUGCGGAAUG
This 332-nucleotide ribosomal RNA is filed under the name uncultured bacterium. Its description in RNAcentral is "partial 16S ribosomal RNA". It matches the Rfam family "Bacterial small subunit ribosomal RNA", at positions 338 to 668 of the family's 1533-position model. The record is from RNAcentral.